UGUCAGAAGUGGGUUUCGAACCCACGCCCACAAGAGAGAACUAUGACCUGAACGCAGCGCCUUAGACCGCUCGGCCUUUCUGAC
This 84-nucleotide transfer RNA is filed under the name Araneus ventricosus. RNAcentral describes it as "tRNA-Leu". The record is from RNAcentral. Lineage: Eukaryota; Metazoa; Arthropoda; Arachnida; Araneae; Araneidae.